AGUGAACGCUGGCGGUAGGCCUAACACAUGCAAGUCGAACGGCAGCACAGUAAGAGCUUGCUCUUACGGGUGGCGAGUGGCGGACGGGUGAGGCAUACAUCGGAAUCUACUUUUUCGUGGGGGAUAACGUAGGGAAACUUACGCUAAUACCUCAUACGACCUACGGGUGAAAGCAGGGGAUCUUCGGACCUUGCGCGAUUGAAUGAGCCGAUGUCGGAUUAGCUAGUUGGCGGGGUAACGGCCCACCAAGGCGACGAUACGUAGCAGGUCUGAGAGGAUGAUCGGCCACACUGGAACUGAGACACGGUCCAGACUCCUACGGGAGGCAGCAGUGGGGAAUAUUGGACAAUGGGCGCAAGCCUGAUCCAGCCAUACCGCGUGGGUGAAGAAGGCCUUCGGGUUGUAAAGCCCUUUUGUUGGGAAAGAACAGCAGCAGGUUAAUACCCCGCUGUUCUGACGGUACCCAAAGAAUAAGCACCGGCUAACUUCGUG
Molecule: ribosomal RNA, 492 nt
Filed under: uncultured bacterium
Lineage: Bacteria
Description: partial 16S ribosomal RNA
Rfam family: Bacterial small subunit ribosomal RNA
Source: RNAcentral